RNAcentral lists this ribosomal RNA (254 nucleotides) under uncultured bacterium. Its description in RNAcentral is "partial 16S ribosomal RNA". It matches the Rfam family "Bacterial small subunit ribosomal RNA", at positions 524 to 776 of the family's 1533-position model. The record is from RNAcentral.
UACGUAGGGUGCGAGCGUUGUCCGGAAUUAUUGGGCGUAAAGAGCUCGUAGGCGGUGUGUCGCGUCGGUCGUGAAAACUUUCAGCUUAACUGGGAGCUUGCGGUCGAUACGGGCAUCACUGGAGUUCGGCAGGGGAGACUGGAAUUCCUGGUGUAGCGGUGAAAUGCGCAGAUAUCAGGAGGAACACCGGUGGCGAAGGCGGGUCUCUGGGCAGUAACUGACGCUGAGGAGCGAAAGCGUGGGGAGCGAACAGG